Molecule: ribosomal RNA, 215 nt
Filed under: uncultured bacterium
Lineage: Bacteria
Description: partial 16S ribosomal RNA
Rfam family: Bacterial small subunit ribosomal RNA
Source: RNAcentral
UACGAAGGGGGCUAGCGUUGUUCGGAAUUACUGGGCGUAAAGCGCACGUAGGCGGAUAUUUAAGUCAGGGGUGAAAUCCCAGAGCUCAACUCUGGAACUGCCUUUGAUACUGGGUAUCUUGAGUAUGGAAGAGGUAAGUGGAAUUGCGAGUGUAGAGGUGAAAUUCGUAGAUAUUCGCAGGAACACCAGUGGCGAAGGCGGCUUACUUGGUCCAU